RNAcentral lists this long non-coding RNA (1062 nucleotides) under Oncorhynchus kisutch (coho salmon). RNAcentral describes it as "lncRNA (ENSOKIG00005040024.1)". Lineage: Eukaryota; Metazoa; Chordata; Actinopteri; Salmoniformes; Salmonidae. The record is from RNAcentral.
CAGACUCCUUUUGGACCAGCAGAUCGGUAAGACUCUCCCUUACAGCAGAUCGGUAAGUACUUGUAAGAGAUUAUGUGUCUGUUAUUGGAAAAGUAAUGAUGAAAAAUGUAAUCUUAAUUUAAUUUAAACUUUUAUUAGUAGUUUGAAUGUUUGAAUGUUUUCUCUAUCAGCAUUUGUUGAGUUUUCCAUUAGUAUAUUGUACGUCUUGCUGUGUGUUCUCUGUUAGUACUAUAUAUAUAUAGUAGUAUAUAGUGUUACUCAACUCUCUUUCCUCUCAGGGAGGAUGGCCAACGUCCAGGUGCCUGUUGUGGCCAUCGGUGCGUUUGGGGACAGUCCUGUCCAGAUGACCUGUCCUACCUGUCACCAGACCGUGGUCACUAAGGUUGACUUCUCCUCUGGUGUCCUCACCUACCUCUUCUGUGGAGGACUCUUCUUCUGUGGGUAUGUACAAGAGUGUGUGUGUGGUGUGUAGUGUGUGUGUGUGUGUGUGUGUGUGUGUGUAGUGUGUAUGUAGUGUGUGUGUGUGUGUGUGUGUGUGUGUGUGUAGUGUGUAUGUAGUGUGUGUGUGUGUGCAUGUAGUGUGUGUGCAUGUAGUGUGUGUGUGUGUGUGUGUGUGUGUGUGUGUGUGUGUGUAGUGUGUGUGUAGUGUGUGUGUAGUGUGUGUGUGUAGUGUGUGUGUGUGUGUGUAUGUAGUGUGUGUGUGUAGUGUGUAUGUAGUGUGUGUGUGUAGUGUGUGUGUAGUGUGUGUGUAGUGUGUGUGUGUGUAGUGUGUAUGUAGUGUGUGUGUGCAUGUGGUGUGUGUGUAGUGUGUGUGUAGUGUGUGUGUGUGUGUGUGUGUGUGUGUGUGUGUGUGUGUAGUGUGUGUGCAUGUGGUGUGUGUGUAGUGUGUGUGUGUAGUGUGUGGGGUGAAAGCCAAUCCUACUGUUUGUCAGUGGGUUCAGGUCAGGCACCACAGGCAUCAAUCUAGCAAUUUUGCAAUCCAUUAAUAUUAGUAAUUUUCACAAAAUAAACAAACAAAUGUCAAACUUGAUGAAAAUGUAUGUAUUUGUUUUUGUUUAUCAU